GUGCCAGCGGCCGCGGUAAUACGUAGGGGGCGAGCGUUAUCCGGAUUUAUUGGGCGUAAAGCGUGUGUAGGCGGUUUAUUAAGUCUAAGAUUAAAGCCUGAGGCUUAACCUCAGUUCGUUUUAGAAACUGGUAGACUUGAGUGUGGUAGAGGCAAGUGGAAUUUCUAGUGUAGCGGUUAAAUGCGUAGAUAUUAGAAGGAACACCAGUGGCGAAGGCGGCUUGCUGGGCCAUUACUGACGCUGAGACACGAAAGCGUGGGGAGCAAAUAGGAUUAGAUACCCUAGUAGUCCACGCUGUAAACGAUGAGUACUAAGUGUCGGGAAACCGGUGCUGAAGCUAACGUAUUAAGUACUCCGCCUGAGUAGUACGGUCGCAAGGCUGGAAACUCAAAGGAAUUGACGGGCACCCGCACAAGCGGUGGAGCAUGCUGUUUAAAUUCGAAGAUACGCGAAGAACCUUACCUAGGCUUGACAUCCCUGGCGACGCUAUAGAGAUAUAGUGGAGGUUAUCCAGGUGACAGGUGGUGCAUGGUUGUCGUCAGCUCGUGUCGUGAGAUGUUCGGUUAAGUCCGAUAACGAGCGCAACCCUUGAUUAUCAGUUACUAACAUUUAGUUGAGUUCUCUGAUGAGACUGCCGGUAAUAAACCGGAGGAAGGUGGGGAUGACGUCAAAUCAUCAUGCCCCUUACGUCUAGGGCUACAAGGCGUGCUACAAUGGCCGAUACGAAGAAAGAUGCAAUGAUCGUGAGGCGGAGCAAAUGUCGAAAAUCGGUCCCAGUUCGGAUUGGAGUCUGCAACUCGACUCCAUGAAGUUGGAAUCGCUAGUAAUCCUGAAUCAGAAUGUCAGGGAGAAUACGGAGCCGGGGGCACACACCGGCGGU
Molecule: ribosomal RNA, 880 nt
Filed under: uncultured bacterium
Lineage: Bacteria
Description: bacterial SSU rRNA
Rfam family: Bacterial small subunit ribosomal RNA
Source: RNAcentral